UACGUAGGGGGCAAGCGUUGUCCGGAAUUAUUGGGCGUAAAGCGCGCGCAGGCGGCUACUUAAGUCUGGUGUUUAAGGCCAGGGCUCAACCCUGGUUCGCACUGGAAACUGGGUGGCUUGAGUGCAGAAGAGGAGAGUGGAAUUCCACGUGUAGCGGUGAAAUGCGUAGAGAUGUGGAGGAACACCAGUGGCGAAGGCGACUCUCUGGGCUGUAACUGACGCUGAGGCGCGAAAGCGUGGGGAGCAAACAGG
Molecule: ribosomal RNA, 252 nt
Filed under: uncultured bacterium
Lineage: Bacteria
Description: partial 16S ribosomal RNA
Rfam family: Bacterial small subunit ribosomal RNA
Source: RNAcentral